GAAAUAGCUUGCUAUUUUGCUGACGAGUGGCGCACGGGUGCGUAACGCGUAUACAAUCUGCCUUUAAGCGGGAAAUAGCCCAUGGAAACGUGGAUUAAUGUCCCAUAGUAUGGAGACUUCACCUGGAGAUUUCAUUAAACAUUUAUGGCUUAAAGAUGAGUAUGCGUCCUAUUAGUUAGUUGGUAAGGUAACGGCUUACCAAGACCGCGAUAGGUAGGGGUCCUGAGAGGGAGAUCCCCCACACUGGUACUGAGACACGGACCAGACUCCUACGGGAGGCAGCAGUGAGGAAUAUUGGACAAUGGAGGCAACUCUGAUCCAGCCAUGCCG
This 330-nucleotide ribosomal RNA is filed under the name uncultured Cytophaga sp. RNAcentral describes it as "bacterial SSU rRNA". It matches the Rfam family "Bacterial small subunit ribosomal RNA", at positions 72 to 399 of the family's 1533-position model. The record is from RNAcentral. Lineage: Bacteria; Pseudomonadati; Bacteroidota; Cytophagia; Cytophagales; Cytophagaceae.